This 167-nucleotide ribosomal RNA is filed under the name uncultured bacterium. Its description in RNAcentral is "partial 16S ribosomal RNA". It matches the Rfam family "Bacterial small subunit ribosomal RNA", at positions 1334 to 1500 of the family's 1533-position model. The record is from RNAcentral.
GCUAGUAAUCGCGGAUCAGAAUGCCGCGGUGAAUACGUUCCCGGGUCUUGUACACACCGCCCGUCACACCAUGGGAGUCGGAAAUGCCCGAAGUCUGUGACCUAACCGCAAGGGAGGGGCAGCCGAAGGCAGGUCGGAUGACUGGGGUGAAGUCGUAACAAGGUAUC